UCCUUUCAUCCCCAUUGUUUGUAUUGUACCAACAGUCAAUGGAAUCAUGUCCAAAUUUUAAGCAAUGGUUACAGAAAGUAGGCUUCCAGUCAUACUCAAUGGUUUGUACCUUAGGCCCAUAAGGAGUAUCAAUUUCAAUCUGGUCAGGCAGGGGUUGAGAAGCAUCUACCUCCACUAGUACACGAGCGAAGGAGAUUUUCUCAAAAUGGGCUGUAAACUUUUCAGUGUACAGUGGCUUGCCAACUGCACUAGCAAGUUUACUCAAAACCUCAAUAGACCAAUAUCCCACUGGCAGUCCAGGAAAGUGAAUCCAAAUAGGUAUGG
Molecule: long non-coding RNA, 324 nt
Filed under: Nicotiana benthamiana
Lineage: Eukaryota; Viridiplantae; Streptophyta; Magnoliopsida; Solanales; Solanaceae
Description: long non-coding RNA (NBEN_LNC013409)
Source: RNAcentral